Molecule: ribosomal RNA, 492 nt
Filed under: uncultured bacterium
Lineage: Bacteria
Description: partial 16S ribosomal RNA
Rfam family: Bacterial small subunit ribosomal RNA
Source: RNAcentral
AGUGAACGCUGGCGGUAGGCCUAACACAUGCAAGUCGAACGGCAGCACAGUAAGAGCUUGCUCUUACGGGUGGCGAGUGGCGGACGGGUGAGGAAUACAUCGGAAUCUACUUUUUCGUGGGGGAUAACGUGGGGAAACUUACGCUAAUACCGCAUACGACCUACGGGUGAAAGCAGGGGAUCUUCGGACCUUGCGCGAUUGAAUGAGCCGAUGUCGGAUUAGCUAGUUGGCGGGGUAAAGGCCCACCAAGGCGACGAUCCGUAGCUGGUCUGAGAGGAUGAUCAGCCACACUGGAACUGAGACACGGUCCAGGCUCCUACGGGAGGCAGCAGUGGGGAAUAUUGGACAAUGGGCGCAAGCCUGACCCAGCCAUACCGCGUGGGUGAAGAAGGCCUUCGGGUUGUAAAGCCCUUUUGUUGGGAAAGAAAAGCAGCAGGUUAAUACCCCGCUGUUCUGACGGUACCCAAAGAAUAAGCACCGGCUAACUUCGUG